UGCAGUGUGGUGCAGUGGUUUGUACGUUGGCCUACAAUUCUAGAGAACAGGGUUUGAAUCCCUGCUCAGCCA
Non-coding RNA from Phrynosoma platyrhinos (Desert horned lizard), 72 nucleotides. The record is from the annotation of a GenBank genome assembly. Lineage: Eukaryota; Metazoa; Chordata; Lepidosauria; Squamata; Phrynosomatidae.